RNAcentral lists this ribosomal RNA (229 nucleotides) under uncultured bacterium. RNAcentral's name for it is "partial 16S ribosomal RNA". It matches the Rfam family "Bacterial small subunit ribosomal RNA", at positions 568 to 796 of the family's 1533-position model. The record is from RNAcentral.
UCCGUAGGCGGGUAAUUAAGUCAGAGGUGAAAUCCCACAGCUUAACUGUGGAACUGCCUUAGAUACUGGUUAUCUUGAGUUUUAGUGAAGUAGAUAGAAUGUGUAGUGUAGCGGUGAAAUGCAUAGAUAUUACACAGAAUACCGAUUGCGAAGGCAGUCUACCAACUAACAACUGACGCUAAUGGACGAAAGCGUGGGGAGCGAACAGGAUUAGAUACCCUGGUAGUCC